UACGUAGGGACCGAGCGUUGUCCGGAAUCAUUGGGCGUAAAGAGCGUGUAGGCGGCCAACUAAGUCCUGCGUGAAAUCUCGGGGCUCAACCCCGAGCGGUCGUGGGAAACUGGUUGGCUAGAGUGCGGGAGAGGAGAGUGGAAUUCCUGGUGUAGCGGUGAAAUGCGCAGAUAUCAGGAAGAACACCCGUGGCGAAGGCAGCUCUCUGGAACGCAACUGACGCUGAGACGCGAAAGCGUGGGGAGCAAACAGG
RNAcentral lists this ribosomal RNA (253 nucleotides) under uncultured bacterium. RNAcentral describes it as "partial 16S ribosomal RNA". It matches the Rfam family "Bacterial small subunit ribosomal RNA", at positions 524 to 776 of the family's 1533-position model. The record is from RNAcentral.